GGUAGUGGCUCAGUGGUAGAGUACUUUCCCAAUAUGCAUGAGGCACUGGGUUCGAUCCCCAGCACCA
Molecule: transfer RNA, 67 nt
Filed under: Marmota monax (woodchuck)
Lineage: Eukaryota; Metazoa; Chordata; Mammalia; Rodentia; Sciuridae
Description: tRNA.Ile
Source: RNAcentral